RNAcentral lists this ribosomal RNA (287 nucleotides) under unidentified marine bacterioplankton. RNAcentral's name for it is "partial 16S ribosomal RNA". It matches the Rfam family "Bacterial small subunit ribosomal RNA", at positions 24 to 339 of the family's 1533-position model. The record is from RNAcentral.
UCAGAACGAACGCUGGCGGCAGGCCUAACACAUGCAAGUCGAACGGACCCUUCGGGGUUAGUGGCGCACGGGUGCGUAACGCGUGGGAAUGUACCCUUGGGUAAGGAAUAAUGUCUGGAAACGGGCACUAAUACCUUAUAAUGACUUCGGUCCAAAGAUUUAUCGCCCAAGGAUCAGCCCGCGUUAGAUUAGGUAGUUGGUGGGGUAAGAGCCUACCAAGCCUACGAUCUAUAGGGGGUCUGAGAGGAUGAUCCCCCACACUGGGACUGAGACACGGCCCAGACUCC